CAGACAGCGGAAUUGGAAAUAUCCGGAACUCGAAAUAUGUUGCUAGGCGGAAUUGGGAGUAUCUGGAACUCAAAUUACUUGUUUGGCAGAUGGCGGAAUUGGAAAUAUCUGGAACUCAAAAUAUCGGUGCCAAAGUGGGAAUACUUGUAAUGUGUUUGUCAUUGAGAAAUGGUUCAAGUCUGACUUAUUUUCUAGAAUGAUAUGGACUUUUGGACCUGUGCCAAACUGAUCAACUGCAUCCUAAUGGAACGUUCAAGAUGUGAUUCAGUAACUGAUACGGUUGUUGCAAUAAUUAUUUUUGACCAAAUUGAAUCCACAAAAUAAUUGAAGAAAUGGUUUCAGAUGAUUACGAACAAGCGCAGCUAUCUUUGGAGAGGUAAUGCACCUACUGAUAUCCCGUGAUAAGAACUUGGGAGAGAUUUAGUGGAGAACGGCCACUUAGCUCACAAAUCUGAGCUGUUCACAUCAAGCUGAUAUUUGUGACAGCCAUUAUAGCUUUAAUCAUUUUCUCGAUUGAUCAAAGCACCACAGACUGCAUCGUUCGUCACCUCUGCCUUUAAGCGCGUUAUCACCUACUCCAAUAAGCCACCCCAAUAUCCUUAAUAAGCAAUAGAAGUUCUUAUCGACUGUGUAUGACUCAUUAAUAUCCAUGUUCUGUAUAAAUUUAUGUGAUAGGCCUACUGGUAUUAAUGUUGAUGUACCGUAAUGUUUUUUGCUCAUGUAUAAUUGAUAAUAAUACAUUAAAAAUAAAUAUAAUGUUAAAUUAUUA
Molecule: long non-coding RNA, 769 nt
Organism: Nilaparvata lugens (brown planthopper)
Lineage: Eukaryota; Metazoa; Arthropoda; Insecta; Hemiptera; Delphacidae
Exons: 4
Source: RefSeq, a predicted model, not a curated record